GAAUUGAAGAAUGCCGAAAGUUAUGUGGAGGUCAUGGAUAUCUAAGUAGCAGUGGACUCCCUGAGUUAUUUGCCGUUUAUGUCCCUGCCUGUACAUACGAAGGAGAUAACACCGUGCUACUACUACAGGUGCAUCAAAAUCAUGAGCGGUUCAUGGCUACGGAAACUAGACUUCUGGAGCUACGACAUAGACUCUCGGAGCAGCACAUCUGACUGUGAAUUCCAUCAGCAAGGAUGCAUUUUAUUGACCACGAUACACCAUAUCCACACCUUGAGAUUAUUAGCGACAAGCAGAAUCCGCGCGCCUAAGUUCUCGCUUUAAAAGUUCAUCCUCUGGUGAUAGGUGCUUUUGCGCUCGCUAGGAAGCCGCUUGACGCCUCCCUUGAUCUUGCAGAAUGGUCGACUAGAGAGAUGAAGGAUGCAUUGGAUAGAUUUUCGGGCAAAGCAACCAACAUGAAGGUCCUAGUUUUGAAGUCCUCUACCCAUCAGAAGGUCGCGUCUGCUAGUCCUCCUCAUCGUGAUCACGAUGGACGUCUUGCCACUUGGAGUACUCCUCCUUCCGGCUUUGUUGAAGUUCGCUAUACGUCCAAAUAUCGGGAGUAGGUAGAAGAUGUUCUUUCCCGUAACAAGUUGACUCUGGAUGGCAUCAAGGUCUAUGACGCCAUCUUUGCUUCGUUGUUCACAUAUGACUACAAUGAGAAUGUCCUCCGUGCCUUUUGUGAGCUUUGGCAUCCAUCUACCAACACAAUUUCUACCUCUAUUGGUGAACUCUCCAUCUCUUUGUAGGACUUGCGAGCUCGGAGGCCUUCCAGUGCAUGGGUCCAUCUACGACAAAGUUAUCCCCUUGGCUAAGGAGUUGACACAAGCGGACGAUCAAGGAAAACCUUUCCUCCCAAGAAGUUAUCUGCACCUAUUCUCGGCGUUCUACAAACUCAUGAAGGAUGAUGUCCACGAGGUUUCCAUUCGUUAUUGGGUGGAGUUUUGGUUUCGAGGUCCGAGUAGGUAUGCCAAGCUUCUGCAAAAGUCAUCAAGGAAUCGGACUAAAAGGCCCAAGUUGAAUCAUAAUCCUUCUGGAAAUAUUGACGAGAGCUUCCUACCAUGAACCGAUGAGGAGAAUGCCCCUUUAUUGAGCUUGGCGUGGAGGAGUCAUUUAGAGCUGAGACUUAUUUGGCAGCUUUACUUGCAUGUUGGCUUUGCAAAUUUGUGUUCCCCAAUAAGAAGAUCGACUACAUUCGUGAUAGCGUCUUCAUAAUCGCGAGUUUGAUGGCUCAUGGAGAGAAGUUUUCCUUGGCGGUUCCAGUCCUUGCAAGUAUCUACCAUGGCUUGAAGGAGGUCUCCACUUCUAAAGAUUUGGGUUCCUGCAAAGCACUCUUUCCUAUUCAUUAUGUAUAUGGAUGGAUAGGAGCAUAUUUCGAUAAUUACUAUCGUGUUAAGCGUCCAUAACGAGGUCUGCAAAUGUGCAAGGUUUCUGGCGAGAAGAUGGCCAAGCAUUUUGAACUUAGUAAUGCCCAUGAGUUAUUUCAACAAGUUAGUACGCGACAACUUCACCAUUUGACUAUGCUACAAGGGAGGGAAUUGAAUCUUACUGAUCGUGACGAACAAUCGAAUUCUUGGCGUGACUUUUUUAUAAGUCUUCGCUCAAGCUUCAUCACCCUUAGGCAUGAUGACAUUCAUAUUAUGGAAUCUUAUAGCUCCCAUAGGUUUAGUCGUCAAUUUGGUUUUUGUCAAGAUGUUCCUGGCAACCUCAUAGAGCAACCUUAUGACGGCUCACUGAAAAUGCUAGUGCAGCUCUGGGACUCAUGUGUUCGUCUUGGAGGUUCGUCAAAGGUUAUUGUCCCUAUGCGUCCUUCAAAGGUUAGUCGUCAGCUCAUCGAGUGCACUCCUCCUGACAAAGUACUCACAUCAUUUUGAAAGUUCCAAGGAAAGAUGAUAUUCUUUUAUCCUCCAAAGAUGAUCAACGUCAAAAGAUCGAAGUCCAAGUUAAGAUUGAAAGAUCCUUCGCCAAGUACCAAGGUCUUAUUUGGGUCUACCCCUUCGACGGGCGGGGAUGCCAUGUGGACAAAAGAGCUAAACAUGUGUUGUUGAUUCCAAGACAACUACUGCCAUUGUGGAGGUGACGAACAAUCCUUGCAAAAGGAAAGCGCCUCCUACUUCACCAAACAAAGAUGUUGCAAAGACAGCCAACGUCGUGCCAACAAAUGAGGAAAGGAUUCAAGCUUCUGCUUUGCCCAAUAAGGUUGUGAAUGUUAGUGCGACUUCCAGUUUGAACGAGAGUGAUGUUAGUCACGACAUACAUUGGAAUCGUUCAAAGAAGAAGGUUAAGGACACAAGCCAUAGUGAGUUUGCUGACUUGGAUGCUCUUAGUAUCGAUAAUGGAUUUUUCGUAGAGGGUGACUGUAGCUCAACGAUGCCAUUGUCUGAACUGGAGAAACGAGUAAAUAUUAUUUUCUUCAAAUUUACUCCUUUUUUUUGCUUUUGAACACCAAAGUUAUUAUUUUUUUAAUUGCAGUUGGGCAUCGAUGAGUUGUAUGAUGAUGUACUUGGUGGCAACAUGGUGGAAGACUGUGUUACAAGCCCAAAUUCCCUCGAUGCGGCCGCAAAAAAUCCGCACACUUCAUUUGAUGGUGUUGAAUAUCAUGCUGCAAAUAACGCUUCAUUGAGAGAUUUAAGUCUACCCAAAGAGUCGCACCUCGUUCUUCCAGAAGAUAUUAUACUUUCAAAGCCAACGGUGAUAAGUAAGAUGGAGAUUGCCGCAAGUCAAGCUAAAUGUCAAAAAGCCUUCGAGCCUACUCCAUGGCCGUUACAUCUUGAUGCUCCAAACUUCAAACCACAAGACUGUUUCCUGUAUUAAACUUUCUUUUGUUAACGCGAUGUAGCAUACCUUGUGUGAAUGGAUCGAAGAGUUCUCUCUUGAUUCUCUGGAUAGCUUCACAAAUUUGAAGGAAAGUAUCGCUUUGACUCUUGAGGAAAUUAAGAAAGAAAAUAUUAUUGAUAUUUCUACUUUAGGCUCUUGAGGCUUUUUUUCAAGACGUACGCAGAUUACGAUGCUUUAAGAUCAUCCCAGAUGACUAAAGAAUUUCACCAAGAGUCACUUUCUGAUGCACGACGACGCCUCGAUGAUGCAAAACAAGAAUAUGAAAAAGUGAACGAGUCUGUAGAGAGACUUCAAGACAAUCUUGCGAGUGUUGAACAAUAGCUAGCUGCCUUGGCCUCCAGAAAGAAGAAGAUCAUCGCGCUCUUGGAUAAACAACAAGUGAAGUUGGCUAAAAGUCAAGAGAACAUUGACAUUACCGAUGGGGAGAUUUAUACCAUUGAAGCCAAUCAUCCAUUAUCUAAUGAUGAAGCAGAGAAAUUAUCCCUCCUGAAAAGGGCAGUUGAGACAAGCCGCCAACAAAUCCUUAGCUUCAAACCUUUUCCAUGAUUUUAGAGUUUUUUUAUUUUUUUUUGCUUAGGAUUCUCGACUUACAAAUUUUUUUUUAUUUUUUUUAUAACUAAUAUCAUGUAAUGGAGUA
Non-coding RNA from Nicotiana tabacum (common tobacco), 3511 nucleotides. The record is from RefSeq and is a predicted model, not a curated record. NCBI's taxonomy places the organism in Eukaryota, Viridiplantae, Streptophyta, Magnoliopsida, Solanales, Solanaceae.